CACGUGAGUAACCUGCCCUUGACUCUGGGAUAAGCGCUAGAAAUGGCGUCUAAUACCGGAUACGAGCUUCAGCCGCAUGGCUAGGAGUUGGAAAGAAUUUUGGUCAAGGAUGGACUCGCGGCCUAUCAGCUAGUUGGUGAGGUAAUGGCUCACCAAGGCGACGACGGGUAGCCGGCCUGAGAGGGUGACCGGCCACACUGGGACUGAGACACGGCCCAGACUCCUACGGGAGGCAGCAGUGGGGAAUAUUGCACAAUGGGCGAAAGCCUGAUGCAGCAACGCCGCGUGAGGGAUGACGGCCUUCGGGUUGUAAACCUCUUUUAGUAGGGAAGAAGCGAAAGUGACGGUACCUGCAGAAAAAGCACCGGCUAACUACGUGCCAGCAGCCGCGGUAAUACGUAGGGUGCAAGCGUUGUCCGGAAUUAUUGGGCGUAAAGAGCUCGUAGGCGGUUUGUCGCGUCUGCUGUGAAAUCUGGGGGCUCAACCCCCAGCCUGCAGUGGGUACGGGCAGACUAGAGUGCGGUAGGGGAGAUUGGAAUUCCUGGUGUAGCGGUGGAAUGCGCAGAUAUCAGGAGGAACACCGAUGGCGAAGGCAGAUCUCUGGGCCGUAACUGACGCUGAGGAGCGAAAGCAUGGGGAGCGAACAGGAUUAGAUACCCUGGUAGUCCAUGCCGUAAACGUUGGGAACUAGAUGUGGGGGCCAUUCCACGGUCUCCGUGUCGCAGCUAACGCAUUAAGUUCCCCGCCUGGGGAGUACGGCCGCAAGGCUAAAACUCAAAGGAAUUGACGGGGGCCCGCACAAGCGGCGGAGCAUGCGGAUUAAUUCGAUGCAACGCGAAGAACCUUACCAAGGCUUGACAUAUACCGGAAACGUCCAGAGAUGGUCGCCCCGCAAGGUCGGUAUACAGGUGGUGCAUGGUUGUCGUCAGCUCGUGUCGUGAGAUGUUGGGUUAAGUCCCGCAACGAGCGCAACCCUCGUUCUAUGUUGCCAGCACGUUAUGGUGGGAACUCAUAGGAGACUGCCGGGGUCAACUCGGAGGAAGGUGGGGAUGACGUCAAAUCAUCAUGCCCCUUAUGUCUUGGGCUUCACGCAUGCUACAAUGGCCGGUACAAAGGGCUGCGAUACCGUAAGGUGGAGCGAAUCCCAAAAAGCCGGUCUCAGUUCGGAUUGAGGUCUGCAACUCGACCUCAUGAAGUCGGAGUCGCUAGUAAUCGCAGAUCAGCAACGCUGCGGUGAAUACGUUCCCGGGCCUUGUACACACCGCCCGUCAAGUCAUGAAAGUCGGUAACACCCGAAGCCAGUGAGC
This 1307-nucleotide ribosomal RNA is filed under the name Frigoribacterium sp. PDD-35b-13. Its description in RNAcentral is "16S ribosomal RNA". It matches the Rfam family "Bacterial small subunit ribosomal RNA", at positions 114 to 1435 of the family's 1533-position model. The record is from RNAcentral. Lineage: Bacteria; Bacillati; Actinomycetota; Actinomycetes; Micrococcales; Microbacteriaceae.